AUGGCAAAACGGAGGUGUCUGCAGCCCCCGGGAAGUCCCGUUCUACAGACGGAGCAAGAUCCCGCUAAGUUCGCGCAGGCGCUGAGGGGCAAGGGAGGACUCUCCAGCCUCAGGUCUCCCCUUGUCGAGCUGCUUCCAGCCACGCUGCCGCGUGAGAGCCACGGCCCCCUGCGGCUGCUGGCUGUUGCGCAGGGCAGCAAGCCCUUUCCACACAGCAUCCCACGCGAAGUCCUCCUUGUGGAGCAAGAGUUGUAACUGAUGUCUCAAACUGCCUUGGUGAAGGCGAGAGAGCCUGUGGUGGACUGAGGGAAUGUAUGCUGUACCCUGAGAAGGAAGCCCACUGAACAGAGAGAGGACUCUUUCUAGAAGCUGAGGUGACAUCUUUCCUCCCAAACCAUACAAGCAAGCAUUGCAAUGGAAGGUAGGAUGGCG
Molecule: long non-coding RNA, 432 nt
Filed under: Meriones unguiculatus (Mongolian gerbil)
Lineage: Eukaryota; Metazoa; Chordata; Mammalia; Rodentia; Muridae
Description: lncRNA (ENSMUGG00000021286.1)
Source: RNAcentral